RNAcentral lists this long non-coding RNA (1256 nucleotides) under Manihot esculenta (cassava). RNAcentral describes it as "long non-coding RNA (MESC_LNC010302)". The record is from RNAcentral. Lineage: Eukaryota; Viridiplantae; Streptophyta; Magnoliopsida; Malpighiales; Euphorbiaceae.
GGAUUUUGAAAUUUUUGAGUCUGACUCCCACACCAACAUGUCUUUCUUUUGAUGUGAGCAUGACUGGACCAUACAUGAGUCAUUAUAAAAAUGAUUGGUUUUAUCGACGAGAGGAGGUGGUUGCUUCUCUGAUCGGGAUACAUAGUUAACUCAGUGUUUGUCGAUCAAGUUUUACUUUGUUGAGAUUUCUGUUGGAUUUGAUUGAUAUGGAUCGUUUCUUACUUCGGUUUGAUGAGAUGGAACUUUGCUUUCCUUUUUCUCUCUCCAGUCGAUGCUGGUGUUAUCUCUACUCAUUAGGAGGUCUCUUGCAUGUCGACGAUGUCAGUCUGUGAUCCCAUCACUACGUUAGGCGAUCCUCGCUCCUAUAAGCUCUUCGCUUCCUGUGAAGUAGAAUCUUUUUUGUAUUGGCGAUUCAAAUUUUUUUGGUGGAUUUAUUGGUUUGCUUGCAGAUGUCUCUGAGUUGGAAUUAAUUUUGGCGGAAGUCUUGAGAUUAUAGGAAGAAAACUGUUUUUAUUUUCUUACCUCUUGUGUAGUAAGUUACAGAGUUUAUAUAGUACAUGAUAUGAACAAUUAGACCUUUGAUUGAGCCCUCAAUUAUGUCCUAGAAUCGUGCUAUGCUAAAUAUGGUAAGAUUUGAUCACUGACUGAUUUACAAUCAUGACAGAGGAUUCUUUCCAACAACUGAUUGAUUUACAAUCAUGGCAGAGAAUUCUUUCCAACAGGAAGGCUGUUCUGGUUCUCCUAUUUGCUUUGUGUGUGUUAUUGUUCUUGCUUUUUUGUUGAUCUAUGUCUGUUUACAUAUUGUUGUUCUUGUUUAUUUGUUUUUGCUUCUUUUGUGUCUGGUGUGGGGUGGAAUUUGGCCAUGUUCAUCUUCUUCUUUGGCUGCCUUUCAUCUAUUUUUCUGAUUUCUUAUCGGAGAUAGUGGUAGUGGGGGUGGCGGUGGCGUGGCGAAAGAUGAUAGUUUUGUAUCAUAUUAGAUUUGUGGAUUGGGCUUUUGAGAUUUGGGUUGGACUUCUGCUUUUAGAUGGUGGGCUAGAUAGUUAAUUUAAGACUAGUUUUCCCUUUAGCCCUAUGGGCUUUUAAUGCAAUUUAUGUUGCAUGGUAAAAAAAAUAUAUAAAAUACAUGAUGGAGUCUGUUUUUCUCUAGGUCUAUUGAAUCAAAGUAUCAUAGUUUUUGGAACAUAAUGUACUAAAGCCUUGGCUCCAUCUCCUUAAUCCCAUGCUAAAAUGAAUCACAAUAUAUAUUUAUUAAAUAG